CAGCCGCCGCGGGAAUACAGAGGGUGCGAGCGUUAAUCGGAUUUACUGGGCGUAAAGCGUGCGUAGGCGGCUUCUUAAGUCGGAUGUGAAAUCCCUGAGCUUAACUUAGGAAUUGCAUUCGAUACUGGGAAGCUAGAGUAUGGGAGAGGAUGGUAGAAUUCCAGGUGUAGCGGUGAAAUGCGUAGAGAUCUGGAGGAAUACCGAUGGCGAAGGCAGCCAUCUGGCCUAAUACUGACGCUGAGGUACGAAAGCAUGGGGAGCAAACAGGAUUAGAGACCCGUGUAGUCCCUGUCUCUUAUAU
Molecule: ribosomal RNA, 301 nt
Filed under: uncultured bacterium
Lineage: Bacteria
Description: partial 16S ribosomal RNA
Rfam family: Bacterial small subunit ribosomal RNA
Source: RNAcentral